UACAGAGGUCUCAAGCGUUGUUCGGAUUCAUUGGGCGUAAAGGGUGCGUAGGCGGCUUGUUAAGUCUUGCGUGAAAUCUCGGGGCUCAACCCCGAGCGGUCGUGAGAAACUGGCAGGCUAGAGUGCGGGAGAGGAGAGUGGAAUUCCUGGUGUAGCGGUGAAAUGCGUAGAUAUCGGGAGGAACACCAGUGGCGAAGGCGACUUCCUGGCCUGUUCUUGACGCUGAGGCGCGAAAGCUAGGGGAGCAAACGGG
RNAcentral lists this ribosomal RNA (253 nucleotides) under uncultured bacterium. RNAcentral's name for it is "partial 16S ribosomal RNA". It matches the Rfam family "Bacterial small subunit ribosomal RNA", at positions 524 to 776 of the family's 1533-position model. The record is from RNAcentral.